This 1858-nucleotide long non-coding RNA is filed under the name Piliocolobus tephrosceles (Ugandan red Colobus). Its description in RNAcentral is "lncRNA (ENSPTEG00000035781.1)". The record is from RNAcentral. Lineage: Eukaryota; Metazoa; Chordata; Mammalia; Primates; Cercopithecidae.
CCCAGGUACUGAGCUUCCUGGCCCAUAAAUGCCCAUCCCCUUCACAUUCUCCUACUUCCUGCAGAACCAGCAGCCCUCUAUGAGAUCAGGCUACAGGCAUUCAAUGGCAACAGGGAUGGAAAUAGCAGUGCCCGCUUUGUCUCGUGUGAUGUGCCCCUAGCCACUCCGGGUAAGUGGGGUCUGGUAGGAGGGUAGUAGGGCUGGUGUCAGAGCAGGCCCCCAUGGCUGCCAGUCUUCAGGGAGGAGGAGGGCUGAGCUUCACCUCCAACCCUGGUCCUCUCUGACAGAUGGCACUGUGUCCACAGAGUCCAAGGCUGGGUGCUCGUGCAGCCCGGAUGAGAGCAGCCCACUGCCUGGGGUUCUGGUGGGCAUCCACGUGGGCCUGGCUGCCCUCAUCGUUUGCCUCCUCUGCCUCUUCCUGGGCUGCAGACAUAGCCUCCUCUGCAAACAGGGGUCCCAGGAAUGCUGGGGAGUGCCUCAGACUGCCUUAGACAGAGCUGGGGGAUGUCAAGGCCAGAUUCAGAGUGGAGGGAAGCCGGGGGAGAAGACUGAACUCACCACCCAGGUGACCGUGGAACAGCUGGCCUUGGCCUAGGGCCCUUCAAGUUGGCUCCCUCCGAGAUGCCACUAACUCUGGAUACACCAAAGAAUCUACCUCACCUGUCCCGAACCGAAAGUCCCUCAGCCCCUCUCCGGGGAGGGGCAGGACUGGCCAUAGCGGGAGAAGAAGGUGUGGUUGCUGUGUUCCUCCCUGACCUCAAAAAAUGGGAGAAUCAGAAUCCCUUCCCCCGACACACCAAAUAACCUCAAACUAAACCAAGCCCAGCUGGGAGUUACUCCCAACCCAGUUACUCCUGCCUCAUGACCCCAUCCAAUAUAUUCACCUCUUCUUGAUCCAAAUAUGAACUUGCCCAAAGACACAUAGCUUUAAGAGUUCCCCACAAAGUGGGGGCAGGGGAAGAGGCUGUCAUCAUCUCCGUCUCACAACCUGAAGCCCUCCAGUCUAAAAUCUGUCUCAGUCUCCUCGUGCCCAAGCUGAGCUCUGCCCAGGGACAGGCGACCUGCAUUCCCUGUGGUCCAAGUGGGCAGGCGGGCAAAAGGGGUGCUGAGUUCCUUGCCCCCCUUCUCCCUACAACAUAAGAGUCUUAAAUACCUGAGCUCAUAUGAGCUUCUCUGAGCAACCAAAUACCCAUUUCCCCCUUUCCAGAUCCAAAGCACUGGCUCCUCCUCAGGGGGCAUCUUUACCCAUUUGAUUUCUAUUUUUGAAAGAGAUUAGUUUGAGUCAGAGUUUUGGCAGUCUUGAAUCGCCUGUAGAAUGAGCAGAGGCUGGGCAGCAUCCCCCAUCUCCCUUCCAUCAACUCUUGGGGUCCAAAGAGCACUUCUUUCCCACUUCUCCCUCUACCAGCCUAUGGCAUCCAGGGCACCAUAGUCCCUCCUCAUCCAGCUCUGCCAUGCUCUAAAGCCAAAGCCCCAGCCACUCCCUCAAUCACUAUCUCUCCAAGGCUGUCCAGUAUUGUGCCAAAAAAGGGAAGGGUCUUGGGGGAAGGAAAGUCCAUGGCUUAGAGGACCCCAAAACUGUCUCCUGUGCUCUUCUAGAGUAAUGCUAGUACCAAUGACAAGACUCCUGAAAGGCUGGGCUCUGGCCCUCCACAAUAGCGCCCUCUGCACACGGCACAGCAGCAGCUGUAACUAAAAAACGCGGCUGAGGAGCAAGAGGGCUAAGAAUAGCCCCAAACGUCAAGUCUUUGAGGAAAUGACAUCCUCUUCUCUGGUUGGGCCUGGUCUAACUGCUUUGUUGGAAAGAAAUAACCAAAACGGAAAAAAUAAAUUAGGAUCUGGUUAAUGCUUUCGGCUGAAA